CUCAGGAUGAACGCUGGCGGCGUGCUUAACACAUGCAAGUCGAACGGAGUUUUAACGGAAGUUUCGGAUGGAAGUUAAAACUUAGUGGCGGACGGGUGAGUAACGCGUGGGUAACCUGCCUCAUACAGGGGGAUAACAGUUAGAAAUGACUGCUAACACCGCAUAACAUAGCGAAACCGCAUGAUUUUGCUAUCAAAUAUUUAUAGGUAUGAGAUGGGCCCGCGUCUGAUUAGCUAGUUGGUGGGGUAAAAGCCUACCAAGGCGACGAUCAGUAGCCGGCUUGAGAGAGUGACCGGCCACAUUGGGACUGAGACACGGCCCAAACUCCUACGGGAGGCAGCAGUGGGGAAUAUUGGACAAUGGGGGAAACCCUGAUCCAGCGAACCGCCGCGUGAGUGAAGAAGUAUUUCGGUAUGUAAAGCUCUAUCAGCAGGGAAGAUAAUGACAGUACCUGACUAAGAAGCCCCGGCUAACUACGUGCCAGCAGCCGC
This 491-nucleotide ribosomal RNA is filed under the name uncultured bacterium. RNAcentral's name for it is "bacterial SSU rRNA". It matches the Rfam family "Bacterial small subunit ribosomal RNA", at positions 23 to 518 of the family's 1533-position model. The record is from RNAcentral.